This is a long non-coding RNA of Galeopterus variegatus (Sunda flying lemur), 289 nucleotides long. RefSeq lists it as uncharacterized. The record is from RefSeq and is a predicted model, not a curated record. Lineage: Eukaryota; Metazoa; Chordata; Mammalia; Dermoptera; Cynocephalidae. The transcript has 2 exons.
AUCUUUAUGUCUCCAGCUGUCCGGGACAUUAUCAAUAGGUAUUGGUAUCAGCAGUUUCCUCUGGAGACCUUCGUAGUGUUGACUGCUUUGAACCAACCUGGAGCCCAGGUGUUGGCAGCAUCCUGAGAGGUCAGAAAUCUGUGGUCUGUCACAGGUCAUGCAGCUAAGGAAACAAACAAAAAAGGCACCAGGACAUCCACUGAGUUCUAGCUCUGGUCCAAGCACUGAGGAGGCCCUCAACAUUCAAUGAGUUCUUUCAAUGAGUGAAUAAAAAUGGUUGGAAACCUCA